This 374-nucleotide long non-coding RNA is filed under the name Trifolium pratense (red clover). RNAcentral's name for it is "long non-coding RNA (TPRA_LNC008925)". The record is from RNAcentral. Lineage: Eukaryota; Viridiplantae; Streptophyta; Magnoliopsida; Fabales; Fabaceae.
UUUUUUAGAGAGACAAACUCCUAAUUCUCUCUAAGUUUUCUUCUCCUUUUUUCAUCAAAAAGGGACCCCUUUCCAUCUUUUUCUGUUUGUUUUAAUCUAAAUAAGUAGUUUUCACAUAGAUUAAAAUUUUCUUGUGUGUUUUUUUNNNNNNNNNNNNNGUUGCGGUGUUCGUUUGAUUGAAUUGGCAGAUCCAGAGGCAUAGAUAUUCCGGUUACUUUAAUUUUAUCACAUUAUUUGUAGGCAUGAGUAUGCCGUUUAUGCUAUUAACUUGGAUGCUGUGAGUUUGUUCGCAGAUUCAUCAUUUUUGUUUUUAGCGGUAUUAAAUUUGUACUUGAAUUACUCUACCAAUAUGAAUGAAUAUCUUUUAUUUUAGU